UAAUGACAUCGUUGCAUUUCAUGUGAGAUACAUGUUGUGCGCUGGUGUGUGUUAGCACACAUGCAAAGCAUAAUCAAUGACGUCACACGGCGUGAAGCAAACGCGUCGUGCGCUGCGUUGUGUGCGUUGUGUGCUGGUGUGUGUGACCAUACAAAGAAAGCUUUACAUCAGCGCGCUGUGGCCACUGGCUGAACCGACUCAAGCGGGUUGACUGUUCCUUUGACGAAAGCUAUCCUAACCGCGUACAAAAUGGCGCAAUAUGUCAGGAAUUUGUCAUGUAUCAAGUUAUAUUUUCUUUUGUAUAAUAAUUACAUUCGUUUAGUUAAGCAACUUGUUUAUAGUGAUAAUUGUUGAAAAGUGUAGAAAAAUGACACCUGCAUUAUAUCCUGGGAUGAAGAAACGUUAUUUUAUGUCGAUUUCUUUAGAUGACAAAGGAGGUAACCAAAUAGCAUAUAUUACAAAAUCUGAGGACAAUAAUAAGGAUCGUUUAGCAAGGUUAAAAUAAUUAUUUUACCACAUUAGGACAUUAACAUAUCCAUGUGUUUGACAUAACCUCACUUCUUAAAUCUCUUAAAUUAGUCGGUGGAGAAGUGGCUCGAGGAUGAUUGUCUGAAUAUAAGUCGUACAAAAUUGGAAUGAAACGGUGAACAAUAUACAGAUCUUUAGACAGGCUUAAAUAAUGUAUGUGUAGGAGCAACUUGAAGAUGAUGGAGAUUUAUCUUCUUAAUAUAAAACCUCUAAAAUUGGGAACAGUAUGUCAUGUAUGCAUGAACUUGAUGUACCCUAGCAAUUGAUGUAUAAUGAACUGGAGAUAGAAUGA
Molecule: long non-coding RNA, 820 nt
Organism: Ctenocephalides felis (cat flea)
Lineage: Eukaryota; Metazoa; Arthropoda; Insecta; Siphonaptera; Pulicidae
Exons: 4
Source: RefSeq, a predicted model, not a curated record